RNAcentral lists this long non-coding RNA (1037 nucleotides) under Oryzias javanicus (javanese ricefish). Its description in RNAcentral is "lncRNA (ENSOJAG00000015603.1)". Lineage: Eukaryota; Metazoa; Chordata; Actinopteri; Beloniformes; Adrianichthyidae. The record is from RNAcentral.
CCCAUGAAGAGGAUGCAGCCCAUUUGGAGAAAAGGAGGAGGAGAAAGAGUGUUGAACAUGGGAAGAUUUUUUCCUCAGCCUUCUCACUUCUUCAAACUGACCAUGAUCUCCACCCCUUUUCUGAUGCUGCUACAAGAGAAAAUGAAUCAUGCAUCUCCUGAGAAAAAGUAGGUGCCAGUAAAGGAGCUUAGAACGCCCACUUUUUAGGAGAGAAACUCAUUUUUAAAGUCCUCCAGGGGAUGGAAGCAGGAAAAGCGCUAGCUCUGAAUGUGACACGUGGUGGUGGGGGUUUGGGGCAAUGAAAUAAACAGAUGAGUGAAGGCUACAAAUGACACCACUGUGAAAUCAAAAUGUAAAAAGUGAGCCAAAGUAGGAAAAACAAGCGGUGGGUAUGAUACAAUAUCCCAUGAUUCUAUUCUCAAAAGAAUCUGAAACUUUGAGCAUUAACCCGGGAGAGGAUGAAUACAAAUAAAGUUGGGAGUUUUUUUUUUGUUAUUCUUUUAACUAACUAUUGCGUUCAUUUUAUUAUUGCCCUGAUUUGAAAUAAAAACAUGGCCAUGGAGCUGCAGUACCGCGGCUGUGGUCGCUGGAAAUCACUGUCUACCCGGGGUCUGGCUGAGCUAGCAUACGCCAACUGCGGCUGAGGGCUCUCUGUUAGCAGGGCAGCAAACCCCUGGCCACGGCUGCGCUUGCAAUGGCUAUUGCAGCAACUGCGGUCAGGGGCUCUCUGUUUUCUGGCCAGUGAACCCCCGCCCAGCCAGCAUAGCGACCCUUGCUGCCCAGGGCCUGACAGCCUGGGCAGUGUUGUAUGCUAGCUCAGCCGGACACUGGAUGGCAACGCUUGCUUGCUCUGCCAGACCUCAAGUAGCCAGUGGCUGCGGUACUUUAGCUUCAAGACUAUGAUGUUUUUGUUAAAAAUAAAGACAAUAAAAAAAAGAACGCAACGGUUAGUUAGUUAGUUAGUUAUCCCCCCUCGGGUUAAUGUUCAAAGUUUCAAGCAGCGCCAGUAGCUUGAAACUCAAUGAAACUUUAAAAAA